Molecule: ribosomal RNA, 257 nt
Filed under: uncultured Glomeromycotina
Lineage: Eukaryota; Fungi; Glomeromycota
Description: partial 18S ribosomal RNA
Rfam family: Eukaryotic small subunit ribosomal RNA
Source: RNAcentral
AAGCUCGUAGUUGAAUUUCGGGAUUAAUUUAUUGGUCGUGCAAUCGUACGUACUGGUAUUAUUGAUUCCUACCUUCUGACGAACCAUGAUGUCAUUAAUUUGGUGUCAUGGGGAAUCAGGACUGUUACUUUGAAAAAAUUAGAGUGUUUAAAGCAGGCUCACGCUUGAAUACAUUAGCAUGGAAUAACGAAAUAGGACGUUUGAUUCUAUUUUGUUGGUUUCUAGGAUCGACGUAAUGAUUAAUAGGGAUAGUUGGG